UAGCUCAGUUGGUAGAGCAUGGUGUUUGCAACAAAUGGUGUUUGCAACGCCAGGGUUGUGGGUUCGAUUCCCAC
Molecule: transfer RNA, 74 nt
Filed under: Salmo salar (Atlantic salmon)
Lineage: Eukaryota; Metazoa; Chordata; Actinopteri; Salmoniformes; Salmonidae
Rfam family: tRNA
About the family: Transfer RNA (tRNA) molecules are approximately 80 nucleotides in length. Their secondary structure includes four short double-helical elements and three loops (D, anti-codon, and T loops).
Source: Rfam by way of RNAcentral